AGUGAACGCUGGCGGUAGGCCUAACACAUGCAAGUCGAACGGCAGCACAGUAAGAGCUUGCUCUUACGGGUGGCGAGUGGCGGACGGGUGAGGAAUACAUCGGAAUCUACUUUUUCGUGGGGGAUAACGUAGGGGAACUUACGCUAAUACCGCAUACGACCUACGGGUGAAAGCAGGGGAUCUUCGGACCUUGCGCGAUUGAAUGAGCCGAUGUCGGAUUAGCUGGUUGGCGGGGUAAAGGCCCACCAAGGCGACGAUCCGUAGCUGGUCUGAGAGGAUGAUCAGUCACACUAGAACUGAGACACGGUCCAGACUCCUGCGGGACGGAGCAGUGGGGAAUAGUGGACAAUGGGCGCAAGCCUGAUCCAGCCAUACCGCGUGUGUGAAGGAGGCCUUCGGGUUGUAAAGCCCUUUUGUUGGGAAAGAAAAGCAGCAGGUUAAUACCCCGCUGUUCUGACGGUACCCAAAGAAUAAGCACCGGCUAACUUCGUG
This 492-nucleotide ribosomal RNA is filed under the name uncultured bacterium. RNAcentral describes it as "partial 16S ribosomal RNA". It matches the Rfam family "Bacterial small subunit ribosomal RNA", at positions 29 to 507 of the family's 1533-position model. The record is from RNAcentral.